Molecule: long non-coding RNA, 6805 nt
Organism: Astatotilapia calliptera (eastern happy)
Lineage: Eukaryota; Metazoa; Chordata; Actinopteri; Cichliformes; Cichlidae
Source: Ensembl
CUGACACGGAAUACAGACUGAGAGAGCAGCUCAUGAAAAAAAACACACCCGAUGUCACGCUGACUAGUGUUUGAUCUAGUCAGGUUUAAUUCUGUCCUUCCUAGGGGAAAAAAAACCCAUUGUCGUUUUGAAAUUUAGCACAGUUUUAAGGUGCAUCAAGUUAGCUUUAGAUGACGAGAAGUGGAUGAAAUGCCUCCUGGGCCAUGGGCGUCUCUCUGUUGGAUUUUACUCUCUGUCUGCCUCCUGUUUGCCUCUACAGGUGAGACUGAUCUUGCUUUAAGUUCAACAGGAUUCACAACACAACCCUAGGAGCAUCAGUUUUCUGUCUGAUGCUUCCUGCUACUCCUGUUUCAUUCAUACUGUUUUAUUUAAAUCAUUUUCUAACUCCGUGACUCUGUAGAGAUUGAGGCUACGUCCACACGUACCCGGGUAUUUUUGAAAACGCAGAUAUUUCUAUGCGUUUGCACCUUUCCUCCUCUGUGAGAUGUUCUCAAUCAUUGCCAGGUCUUUAUCACUUGAGUUCUGUCUUGCUGGGGUCGCAGACUUCUGCAAAAAGUCUCAUCGAGCUCUGGGUUGGUUUAGGUGGAUUUGGAGGUAUACUGCAACUGAUGCUGUAGAUGCAGUGGCAGCAACAGUUGCAGUAGACACACUGGCACCUUCAUUAAUAUCACACUCAACUGACUGUUUUAUAUUCCUAUUGCACUGAUGGGUGGACAGUUCUCAGGUGCCUGUGCAGGUUGUUUGUGGAGCCGGCUCUGUAUGAUAUCUUUUUCUUACAGACUUUACACUCUGUCUUUGUUUUCAGUAAAAUUGAAAUUGCUCCAGAUUUUGCUUCUUUUCUUGGUGUCACUCAUUUUUAUUACCAUGCCUUUCUAAUGUGUUGAUGUUGUGUCUUGUUGCCCCUGGCUCUCUUUCUCUCUUUCACACUCUGUUCCUAUGCUACUGCGAGUGUAACCACCACCCCUCCCCCCUCUGCUCAGCGCAAACACAAGGCUCAAGUGCGGUGUGAAGUGAAAAUAGUGAGACAGAGCGGGUGAGAGAAAGGGGAAAAGAAACACAGCUCGUUAUUCGUUACUUCGUGUGGUGGCUAUUGCGGAGCUUCCACAGAUUCAGUAACAUUAGCAAGUGGUGGAGGCCAGCAGGUGGAUGAGGGAAAUGGUGAGGCGGCCUGAGGCGGCCGCUGUCCAAGUGUCAGGUGAACUGAAUUCCAGGUAAGAAGUUAUGACCUGCAGUCUAUCUGGGUCAGUUCAGGUAUAGUUUAUUUUAGUUAUGCUGACUUUUUUGUAGCAUAACUAUGAAAAAGUCAGUACUAUUUGUUUUGUGGAAAUAUGGACUUUAUUUUUUUCCUUUCUAUUGGUAGGUGGCACAGUGCACUUGAGGCAAGUAAGCAAGCUAGAAGACUGGCACUCUUGCUGGAUAUCCAGUUACGGAAGCAACACAUUAACAAGAGAAUUCUGAGUAAAACCAAAGUUACCUUCCUGAGUAACUAGUUACUCUGAAAGUAAUGACUAACUUGAAGUAACUGAGUUACUUUUGAUAGAAGUAACUAGUAAUGUAACUAAGUUACUAAUUUAAAGUAACUUACCCAACACUGCUCACUUCAAAGAUACGGCUCUAAGAGCAUUUUCGUUCACAACUGACACAUCACUACAUGGGGCACACUCACCCUUGACCCACCUGCUUUCCAAGGUAGGUGAUGGUUGCAUGGUGCAUGUGGCACACAACCGACUGUAAGCAACAACAUGUUUUUUUUUUAAAACCAGGCCAAAAGAAGUUGCUCAGCACUCAGUAAUACUUUUUAUUUAUUCCGAGAUGCCAUGCCCAUAUCAUGUGCUAAGCUUAGCACCUGAUUACAAUGAUGGGAUUGUACCACCACCUGCAUGACGUUCAAUGUUCCACUAAUCUGAGGACCACCACCUCGUGAGCAGGCCAUCCUGCAGUAAAAAACGGGGAAUGGUUGCGCUUUGCCCAGAAGCGAAAGUGGCGGCAAAACAGGAACUCAAAGACUUGCCAUUUCUCUGAGUGCUUACCAAAGCUUCUUUACUCACAUCUCCAAUUCCAGCAUUAAUUUUACCACACUUCGUUCCAUUUUCAUACUGUCUCUCUCUUACAAAAGGCUUUUGCCCUGUAGCCACAAACGUAUCCGCGAUACUAAAAUCAGCAAAUUUGCACUCUUGCGCCCAUGUGACAGUUUGACAGCUUAGAGCUCCACAUUAUUGGUGGGAUAAGUUUAUCAGGAUGGCUUCAAAAUCUGCAACCACAAGUGUUUAGAUUUCCAUCGGAUCUCAAGAGGAACAAACGAAUAACUCAGACUUACAAAUGGACUGCAAGUCAGAAAACUAGGGAAUGUGACGACCUCCCUGACUAAGGCCCAUAAACGUCGUGUUCACAUCAUACACACACUUAUAUUUCUACUCUCCCUGGAUGUUUUCCACUCUGUGCUGCUAUUGUAAGUCUUCUUGGUCCUUGUGGGGUGAUCGUGGCUCAAGAGUUGGGAGUUCACCUUGUAAUCAGAGGGUUGCCGGUUCGAGCCUCGGCUUGGACAGUCUUGGUCGUUGUGUCCUUGGGCACUUCACCCGUUGCCUACUGGUGGUGGUCAGAGGGCCCGGUGGCACCAGUGUCUGGCAACUUCGCCUCUGUCAGUGCGCCCCAGGGUGGCUGUGGCUACAAUGUAGCUUGCCAGUAAAGUAAUAGUAGUAGUAGUAAAGCACUAUACAAAUACAGACUAUUUACCAGACCAUUUGUACUCAAUGCAUUUGGUUCAGACGUUAAUAAUAUUAACUCAUACAUCCAGGUAAAGCUAUUGAUAGUGAUGUGACGUUCUGUAUCGAGGCUUCGGAGCGUGUGUCGAGUAAUGGAGGGGGCGUUUCCGCGAUGCGCGUAUCGAGGCUUGCUUCAUUUAUGGGAGGAGCUGAAAAUGAUGACGUCCGAAGCCUCGCUGCCCGGCUGUACCACGUGACUGGUUCAUGAAGUGGUUCGAACUUUGCCGCGAGCUAUGACAGCGAUAUAAACCCCUCAGAUUUCAUUCAAAAUGUGGGUGUUUGAUGGAGAGUUGCGGUUAGUGAGAGUUUGGAGACCGUUUGGAGGUUUAUGAGAGUGAGGAGAGAAAGUCAGGAGAGAAUGGAGCCAGCUAAGAAGAGGAGGAUGUCCUCUCCUGUGUGGGAACAUUUUGAUCUUAUUCCUCCCAACAAGGUAUGUAAAUUUCUACAGAAGAUGUAUUUUCAUAAUACUGAUGGUGCAAUACAAUUUAUGUUAAGCUGUCUUUACUUUUGUACAAGGUGAAGUGUUUGCUAUGUGCCAGGGAGCUGGGAUAUAACAACAACACCUCAUCCAUGCUUACGCACUACAGAGCUUUGCAUGAGAAUAAGGGGAACACCGAUUGUGGAGCAAGACCAGGAGAACAAUCUCAAAUAGAUGAAGACCUGGUCAGCAUGGUGAUUGAGGACUCCCAGCCAUUUAGCAUUGUGGAGGACAAAGGAUUCAAAAGAUUUGUUAAAUCAUUAAAUCCUAGCUAUGUUCUCCCCACUAAAAAGGUCAUAAAAGCAGUGAAAAUUUAGUUUUUACAGAAUAAAAUGUGAACAGGCAGGACUGAGGCUCAAAGCCUCAGUGUGUAGCUGUCCAUACCUCAACGUUACAAAAGCACAACCACUGUCCACACCUCACCUCACAGUAAAUGAUCAUUUCCAUUUUAAGCAUUUCCAAAUAAUCAUUUUCCAUACUGCCAGUAUAAAUAUACACACUAUACUGCCAUCAAUACAAUAUAGAUGUUUUACACACUCCUUUUGUUGUUGAUAUUUACAGGCUGUGUGCAAAAUGCCACACUCUUCAAAUUCAUGCCAACUAAUAUUUUUACGUCCAGUAGGUGUCCUCCUAGAGCAAAUGAAGCUUCAAGAAGCUUUGCGCUGGGGUGAACCAAUUGGAUGAAAAGCUUCAGUGCUUCAUGAAGCUUCAUCUGCCCAUCACUAGCUAUUGAUCCAAGAUUGUUAGGUGUGGCUGUGUGCAGGCAGGAAUAGGACCCAAGGUGCAGACUCCGGAGACAGAACUUAAACCAAAACAGCUUUAAUGCUGAACGCAAACAUAACAUAACUGGAAAAACUCAAAAAAAACAAACUAACACCAGCAGAUUGACAAAACACACAGCAACGUAAACGGUAGAUCGCGACACAGACACCAAGAAACACAGGGCUUAAAUACACAGAGGGAGCAAUCAGGGAAUGGGUAACAGGAGGGAAACACAGCUGGGGCAAAUCAGGCCUAACGAGACAAGGGGAAGCAAAACCAGACACAUUAACAUCAGACAUGGACUUUCAAAGUAAAACAGGAAACAUAACACAGACUCACGGGCAGGCACUAUAACAAAGGGAACAGAGACGUGGGAACAGGGCAGACACAAACAUUGACUGAACACGGGGAUAUAGGAACUUAGGAUACACAUAGACGCGAACUAGACAAGGGGAUGCAGGUGAUAGGGGAGACAGAGCAACUAAAGAAGACAGAGACCUAAGCCAUAAGACAGAACUCAAAGAAACCAAAAACUAGAAAGUAUAAAUAAUAUCAUAAACUCAAAAACGCUGGGUCGACGACCCAGGCAUCCCAACAAAGAUUGAGUAAGGAAUAACACACACUAGAUCUGUCUUAUUUAGAAUAUGAAAAUAUGAAACGUAUUUCAAGUUUUUGACAAAUAUACGCAUCCAUUGAUCAGUGAAGUGUCCAUAUUUGCUAUUACUAACACACAGUUAUCCUAUAGAGUUUGAGUCAGUCCAAACUUAAAGUAAUUAUUUUUGUGGUCAAUUGCAAGAAAACUGUAACUUUUGUUAGAGCUACUUCCAUUAGCUUUAAUAGCUUUAAUAAAUGGGAUUUCCAUCCCGAAAUGCAUGCCAAAUAAUUUACAUUUCAAUUCAAAAAGAUGAAAUUAGGUUUCUUUAGUUCAGCACAUCUAUCUCUCUGUUUGCUCCUCACUGUGUACAAACACUUUUCUCCUUUUUCAGAUGGGAAAAUCAUCAAAGCUGAGCCUGGACAGAACGUCACUCUGCCAUGUCGAACUCCACAUAUCAGCGUUCCCAUCAGAGCUGUGGUGGAGUGGUUCAGACUUGACCUGCAGGAAGGACAUGUCCUUAUGUACCGGGAUGAGCAGUUUAUUUCAAUGAACCAGCUUCCAUCGUUUGUGAACCGGGUGGAUCUGCAGGACAGACAGAUGAAGGACGGAGACGUGUCUUUGAUUCUGAAGGACGUGACAAGUGACGACACUGGAACAUUUCAGUGUUACGUGGUCCAGAGAGGAACAAAUGGCAGGAAAAGCACUGUUGAUCAUAUCAGCACCGUCUACCUGAGAGUUGUAGGGAGCAGCGAUGGACAUCCAACAAUGAAAUGUAGACGUUUAACACAAAUACAAUUGAAUUUUUUAGCGUUUUUCUCUUCUUUACUUAGAAGUAUUGUUAAGGAGAUUUAAAAACAAAGUUAAUUUUCAUUGUCUUCUUCAUUAUUACGUUGCUGUUAAAAGGUAAUAAUGCCAAUGAAGUCCGUAUAGUGCAGCCAGUCCCUUAAACACUGCUGCAAUCCACUUUCACCAAAAUAAGUUUUCUCCUAAGUUUUUUUUUUUCUUUUAUCACUUUUGAUCUUUGAUUAUUUGCUUGCUGAGGUUAAUUCGUGAUUAACAGCUUUGAUUCUGCUGUUUGGAAACGUGUGCUCCAGUUUAGUUUAUUUCCAGCAGUAAUAAAUUUGUUAAAUGUUGGGUCUGUGUUUCCACAUGCCCCGCUAGUUUAGAGACUUAUUCCUCAUGACAAACACAAGACAUAGCAGAACAUCUUCAACCGGUUAUUAACUCGCUAACGAAGGAGAGCUUUGGUCUGAACCAGGCGGUGGAGCAUAAUGCUCAUCACUCUCUAGCCCAAAUCCUUCAAAGAGCAGCUGUCCUCGUAGCCUUUUUAUUGACAUGACAUUUACAGUACACAUGACAACACAACACAAGCACCUCCCAUCGUAAACCCCCCCCCCCCCCCCCCCCUUGGUCCUAAGACAAGGCAUUAUAUGUGUGUGUGUGACAAAUAACUUUGUUGUUUGCAAAACUUGUGCAUAGGAUUUUAAAAUUGACAAUUUAUACUUGUAUUUAAAGUUAUGAAAUAUGAUUCAUUAAACAUGUUUGUGGUUGUUACAGUAAAAAAUAUAACUUUUUUCUACUCUGAUUUUAUGUUUUUUUCUGAUUUUAGAUCUAUUGUGUUAAUACAAUAAAUGUACAAAUGAAAACAAGGCAAAGUAAAUAGUUUUUAAAGGUAAAAUGUGGAGGGACAAUCAAAAGUAGUUAAAAAUGGCCAAUUAUACCCUGGACCCCAGAGGGUUAAACAUUUUUUUCAAAGUAACUCAAUAGUUACUUUUCAAGUAAUUAAUUAAUUUUAGAAUAUUGUAACUCAGUUACUAACUCAGUUACUUUUUGAAGAAGUAACUAGUAACUAUAAUUAAUUACUUUUUCAAAGUAACUUGCCCAACACUGCCCACAUCUAAAAACUCUCUCUCUCUCUCUCUCCCUAACUUGCUCACUCUGUCUCCUGCCCUGCCUUCCCCUCUUCCUAAACAACCCUGGUGGUGACUUUUCUUUUUAAUUGGUGGACAUGAGACAUUUUUUGACAGAACGGGAAAGAGGUGACUUUUUUUCUUUCUUUUAGUGUUUUCGCGCUGUCCUUAGAAUACGCUUAAAAAACACACACACAAAAACAAAACAAAACGUGACAACAGUUUUUGGCAUGGCAUGGCAUGGCUUAUAUAAAUUAUAACAACUGUGGAUUUACUGGCUGGUAAUUAAAAUUUAAAA